GUGAGGUGUCAGUCUGCCUUUACUGGGU
Molecule: non-coding RNA, 28 nt
Filed under: Homo sapiens (human)
Lineage: Eukaryota; Metazoa; Chordata; Mammalia; Primates; Hominidae
Source: RNAcentral